UAAACACGACAAUUCAAAAACGAACAAGGGAAUAUCGAACUCGAUCAGAGCACCCAAAACGUUAUGCUCAUCUCUUUGCUCGAAUCUUUCUUGUUCGAUUCAUUGAAGCCAUCUUCUUCCUUCACGUCCGCAGCAUGCAUGCAGCGAGAUCUUCUUCAUCAGAAGGUCCUGUACUCUAAACAAAGUGACCCAUCAGCUGCAUGCUUCUUGUGUUUCUUGUUUGAUUGAGGUCUUGCUCUCCCAAGGGGCAGGCAGGCAGGAGCAUCCAUCUUCCUUUUCUCUGCAUCACCACUUUUGGUUGGCACCUUUAAUUUUCUUCUCAGCUGCAAGGAAGUUAUAGUACAGCAUGAGAAAAUUGAGUCCAUACGAACCACACAAGAGAGGUACUCCUAUAUUGGGAUCAGGCAGUUUUUGAUGGCAGCGUGUAUGUAUAGGAUGAUUCUUGCUUACCAACCUGUCAGUGCGGCACUGCUCGAAUUCCCAGAAAGUCCCAGCUCACCCAAUACUGCAUCAU
Molecule: long non-coding RNA, 514 nt
Filed under: Sorghum bicolor (sorghum)
Lineage: Eukaryota; Viridiplantae; Streptophyta; Magnoliopsida; Poales; Poaceae
Description: long non-coding RNA (SBIC_LNC016806)
Source: RNAcentral